CUCAUCUCAUACGUUAGUAAAGUGAUGCUUAAAAUUCUCCAAGCCAGGCUUCAACAGGCUUCAAUGGUACAUGAAUGAAGAAAUUCCAGACAUUCAAGCAGUAUUUAGAAAAGGCAGAGUAACCAGAGAUCAAAUUGCAACAUCUGUUGGAUCAU
Long non-coding RNA from Cervus elaphus (red deer), 155 nucleotides. RefSeq lists it as uncharacterized. NCBI's taxonomy places the organism in Eukaryota, Metazoa, Chordata, Mammalia, Artiodactyla, Cervidae. The transcript is spliced from 2 exons. The record is from RefSeq and is a predicted model, not a curated record.